ARUUKCUUGCYGGMUYCRKGGKMAUSCUGGCGGCGUGCUUAACACAUGCMAGUCGAACGAUUAAAGCCCCUUCGGGGGUGUAUAGAGKGGCSAACGGGUGAGUAACACGUGGGCRAUCUGCCCCUCACUUCGGGAUAACUCAGGGAAACUUGAGCUAAUACCGAAUACUCCGGUCGGAUCGCAUGGUCUGAUUGGGAAAGCUCCGACGGUGAGGGAUGAGCCCGCGGCCCAUUAGCUAGUUGGUAGGGUAAUGGCCUACCAAGGCAACGAUGGGUAGCCGCGCUGAGAGGCGGAUCGGCCACACUGGGACUGAGACACGGCCCAGACUCCUACGGGAGGCRGCAGUGGGGAAUUUUGMGCAAUGGGCGAAAGCCUGACGCAGCAACGCCGCGUGCGGGAUGAAGGCUCUCGGGUCGUAAACCGCUUUCAGCAGGGAUGAAAUUGACAGUACCUGCAGAAGAAGCCCCGGCUAAAUACGUGCCAGCAGCCGCGGUAAUACGUAUGGGGCAAGCGUUAUCCGGAUUCAUUGGGCGUAAAGAGCGCGUAGGCGGAUUGUUAAGUCAGAUGUGAAAACUGGGGGCUCAACCCGCAGCCUGCAUCUGAAACUGGCAGUCUUGAGUCUGGUAGAGGAGUGUGGAAUUCCCAGUGUAGCGGUGAAAUGCGCAGAUAUUGGGAGGAACACCAGUGGCGAAGCGGCACUCUGGGCCGCGACUGACGCUGAGGCGCGAAAGCUAGGGGAGCAAACAGGAUUAGAUACYCCUGGUAGUCCUAGYCGUAAACGAUGGGCACUAGGUGUGGGAGGUCAUCAACUCCCUCCGUGCCGCAGCUAACGCAUUAAGUGCCYCGCCUGGGGAGUACGGCCGCAAGGCUAAAACUCAAAGGAAUUGACGGGGGUCSGCACAGCAGCGGAGCAUGUGGCUUAAUUCGAAGCAACSCGAAGAACCUUACYAGGCUGACAUGCAGAGUAAACGGCGAAUCGUCYYGUCCGAAAGGCUCUGCACAGGUGGUGCAUGCUGUYGUCASCUCUGUCUGRAAUGAUGGUAGUUCCSCUACGAGGCCAACCCCUGUCGUWGUUGCCRMCAUAGUUGGAAUUACCGGACUGCUGGCUCAGUCGARRAAGUGUGGAAKARCYCARGUCWMUCWUGUG
RNAcentral lists this ribosomal RNA (1147 nucleotides) under uncultured bacterium. RNAcentral describes it as "partial 16S ribosomal RNA". It matches the Rfam family "Bacterial small subunit ribosomal RNA", at positions 1 to 1197 of the family's 1533-position model. The record is from RNAcentral.